Molecule: ribosomal RNA, 266 nt
Filed under: uncultured bacterium
Lineage: Bacteria
Description: partial 16S ribosomal RNA
Rfam family: Bacterial small subunit ribosomal RNA
Source: RNAcentral
GUCCACGCCCUAAACGAUGUCAACUGGUUGUUGGGAGAGUGAAAUCUCUUAGUAACGAAGCUAACGCGUGAAGUUGACCGCCUGGGGAGUACGGUCGCAAGAUUAAAACUCAAAGGAAUUGACGGGGACCCGCACAAGCGGUGGAUGAUGUGGAUUAAUUCGAUGCAACGCGAAGAACCUUACCUACCCUUUACAUGUCCAGGACUUACCAGAGAUGGUUUGGUGCCCGAAAGGGAACUGGAACACAGGUGCUGCAUGGCUGUCGU